RNAcentral lists this transfer RNA (90 nucleotides) under Candidatus Omnitrophota bacterium. RNAcentral's name for it is "Candidatus Omnitrophica bacterium tRNA-Ser". It matches the Rfam family "tRNA". Rfam says of the family: Transfer RNA (tRNA) molecules are approximately 80 nucleotides in length. Their secondary structure includes four short double-helical elements and three loops (D, anti-codon, and T loops). Further hydrogen bonds mediate the characteristic L-shaped molecular structure. tRNAs have two regions of fundamental functional importance: the anti-codon, which is responsible for specific mRNA codon recognition, and the 3' end, to which the tRNAs corresponding amino acid is attached (by aminoacyl-tRNA synthetases). tRNAs cope with the degeneracy of the genetic code in two manners: having more than one tRNA (with a specific anti-codon) for a particular amino acid; and 'wobble' base-pairing, i.e. permitting non-standard base-pairing at the 3rd anti-codon position. Lineage: Bacteria; Pseudomonadati; Candidatus Omnitrophota. The record is from RNAcentral.
GGAGAGGUACGGAAGCGGCCAUAACCGGGCGGUCUUGAAAACCGUUUGACCCUUUGGGUCCCGUGGGUUCGAAUCCCACCCUCUCCGCCA